This 105-nucleotide unclassified non-coding RNA is filed under the name soil metagenome. RNAcentral describes it as "partial internal transcribed spacer 1". The record is from RNAcentral.
GUGAACGCCCUCACGGGCUUAUACUAUUCCAAACCUCUGUGAACCGUGCCCUUCGGGGCUAUUUUACAAACAUGGUGUAAUGAACGUCAUAUAUCAUAACAAAAC